GGGGAUGUAGCUCAGUUGGUAGAGUGCUUGCCUCACAUGCACAAGGUCCUGGGUCCAAUCCCCAGCACCACAA
Molecule: transfer RNA, 73 nt
Filed under: Ictidomys tridecemlineatus (thirteen-lined ground squirrel)
Lineage: Eukaryota; Metazoa; Chordata; Mammalia; Rodentia; Sciuridae
Description: Spermophilus tridecemlineatus (thirteen-lined ground squirrel) tRNA
Rfam family: tRNA
About the family: Transfer RNA (tRNA) molecules are approximately 80 nucleotides in length. Their secondary structure includes four short double-helical elements and three loops (D, anti-codon, and T loops).
Source: Rfam by way of RNAcentral